CAGUGUUGCAUGCCAUCUUCUGUGUUCCCAGGACAACCUAGGACGGCUCUAAGAAAUACUGUGGGAGCUAUGCUGUAACUUUGCACAUGCCCUCCUGUGGAACUGUUUUCUGUCUGCUUCGGUCCUGAAGCAGAAAAUCACAUCAUUUUGGAACACAGAUCACCAGAAAAGGAGCAUCCCUGAGACUCCUGGAGGAGAGCUGACUUACUUAAGACCACAGAGAUAAUCGGUACCAGAGAAGGGGUCUGAUCCCAUGAUCUUCGAUGCAGAAGCUAAUGCUCUUGGUGAUAGUGCACUGCCUACCCUGGUAAUGCUUUUUUUUUUAACAUUGAGUUACAGUCAUUUUACAAUGUUGUGUCAAAUUCCAGUGCAGAACACAAUUGUUCAGUUAUACGUGAACAUUCAUACAUUCACUGUCGCAUUCUCUUUCGCUGUGAGCCACCACAAGAUCCUGUAUAUAUUUCCCUGUGCUACACAGUACCCUAGUAACUCUUAAUGAGGACAUCAGGAAAUCUUCAGAGAUGCCUGUGCAAUUCAGGCUCUGUGCAGGUCACUA
Long non-coding RNA from Camelus dromedarius (Arabian camel), 556 nucleotides. RefSeq lists it as uncharacterized. NCBI's taxonomy places the organism in Eukaryota, Metazoa, Chordata, Mammalia, Artiodactyla, Camelidae. The record is from RefSeq and is a predicted model, not a curated record. The transcript is spliced from 4 exons.